This 484-nucleotide ribosomal RNA is filed under the name uncultured bacterium. Its description in RNAcentral is "partial 16S ribosomal RNA". It matches the Rfam family "Bacterial small subunit ribosomal RNA", at positions 30 to 507 of the family's 1533-position model. The record is from RNAcentral.
AUUGAACGCUGGCGGCAGGCCUAACACAUGCAAGUCGAGCGGAAGAAGGGAGCUUGCUCCUGGAUUCAGCGGCGGACGGGUGAGUAAUGCCUAGGAAUCUGCCUGGUAGUGGGGGAUAACGUCCGGAAACGGGCGCUAAUACCGCAUACGACCUGAGGGAGAAAGUGGGGGAUCUUCGGACCUCCCGCUAUCAGAUGAGCCUAGGUCGGAUUAGCUAGUUGGUGGGGUAAAGGCCUACCAAGGCGACGAUCCGUAACUGGUCUGAGAGGAUGAUCAGUCACACUGGAGCUGAGACACGGUCCAGACUCCUACGGGAGGCAGCAGUGGGGAAUAGUGGACAGUGGGCGAAAGCCUGGUCCAGCCAUGCCGCGUGUGUGGAGAAGGUCUUCGGAUUGUAAAGCACGUUAAGUUGGGAGGAAGGGCAGUAAGUUAAUACCUUGCUGUUUUGACGUUACCAACAGAAUAAGCACCGGCUAACUUCGUG